GUGUUUUGUAUUGAAGUCCAAUGGAGC
RNAcentral lists this non-coding RNA (27 nucleotides) under Homo sapiens (human). Lineage: Eukaryota; Metazoa; Chordata; Mammalia; Primates; Hominidae. The record is from RNAcentral.